GACGAACGCUGGCGGCGUGCUUAACACAUGCAAGUCGAACGGAAAGGCCCUGCUUUUGUGGGGUGCUCGAGUGGCGAACGGGUGAGUAACACGUGAGUAACCUACCCUUGACUUUGGGAUAACUUCAGGAAACUGGGGCUAAUACCGGAUAGGAGCUCCUGCUGCACGGUGGGGGUUGGAAAGUUUCGGCGGUUGGGGAUGGACUCGCGGCUUAUCAGCUUGUUGGUGGGGUAGUGGCUUACCAAGGCUUUGACGGGUAGCCGGCAUGAGAGGGUGGACGGGGACAUUGGGACUGCGAUAGGGCCCAGACUGGUACGGGAGGCAGCAGGGGGGAAUAUUGCACAAUGGGCGGAAGCGUGAUGCAGCAACGCCGCGUGCGGGAUGCCGGCCUUCGGGUUGUAAACCGCUUUCGCCUGUGACGAAGCGUGAGUGACGGUAAUGGGUAAAGAAGCACCGGCUAACUACGUG
RNAcentral lists this ribosomal RNA (468 nucleotides) under uncultured bacterium. RNAcentral describes it as "partial 16S ribosomal RNA". It matches the Rfam family "Bacterial small subunit ribosomal RNA", at positions 28 to 507 of the family's 1533-position model. The record is from RNAcentral.